Molecule: ribosomal RNA, 459 nt
Filed under: uncultured bacterium
Lineage: Bacteria
Description: partial 16S ribosomal RNA
Rfam family: Bacterial small subunit ribosomal RNA
Source: RNAcentral
CCUACGGGAGGCUGCAGUGAGGAAUAUUGGUCAAUGGACGCAAGUCUGAACCAGCCAUGCCGCGUGCAGGAAGACGGCUCUACGAGUUGUAAACUGCUUUUGUACGAGGGUAAACGCAGAUACGCGUACCUGUCUGAAAGUAUCGUACGAAUAAGGAUCGGCUAACUCCGUGCCAGCAGCCGCGGUAAUACGGAGGAUUCAAGCGUUAUCCGGAUUUAUUGGGUUUAAAGGGUGCGUAGGGGGACAGUCAAGUCAGCGGUAAAAGUGCGGUGCUCAACGCCGUACAGCCGUUGAAACUGGCAGUCGUGAGUGGGCGAGAGGUAUGCGGAAUGCGUGGUGUAGCGGUGAAAUGCAUAGAUAUCACGCAGAACUCCGAUUGCGAAGGCAGCAUACCGGCGCCCGACUGACGCUGAGGCACGAAAGCGUGGGUAUCGAACAGGAUUAGAUACCCGUGUAGUC